Molecule: ribosomal RNA, 420 nt
Filed under: uncultured crenarchaeote
Lineage: Archaea; Thermoproteati; Thermoproteota
Description: bacterial SSU rRNA
Rfam family: Archaeal small subunit ribosomal RNA
Source: RNAcentral
CAGCCGCCGCGGUAACACCAGCCCCUCGAGUGGUGGGGACUAUUAUUUGGCCUAAAGCGUCCGUAGCUGGCUGUAUCUGUCUCCCGGUAAAUCCGGCGUCCUAAGCGUCGGUUCUCGGGUGAUACCAUACAGCUAGAGGGUGGGAUAGGUGAGCGGUAUUUCUGGGGUGGGGGCGAAAUCCUUUGAUCCCAGGAGGACCACCAGUGGCGAAGGCUGCUCACUAGAACACGCCUGACGGUCAGGGACGAAAGCUGGGGCAGCGAACCGGAUUAGAUACCCGGGUAGUCCCAGCUGUAAACGAUGCUAGCUAGGUGUUGGGUCGGCCACGCGCCGCCCCAGUGCCGCAGGGAAGCCGUUAAGCUAGCCGCCUGGGGAGUACGGCCGCAAGGCUGAAACUUAAAGGAAUUGGCGGGGGAGCAC